ACGUAGGUGGCGAGCGUUGUCCGGAAUUAUUGGGCGUAAAGCGCGCGCAGGUGGGAUCUUAAGUCUGUUUUCAAAGUGCGGAGCUUAACUCCGUGAUGGGAUAGAAACUGGGAUUCUUGAGUACCGGAGAGGAAAGCGGAAUUCCCCGUGGGGGGGUGAGUGGAGGGGGUAUGGGGCGGAGGGGCGGUGGCGAGGGGGGCGAACGGGAUGGGGUCUCAUAUUAUGCCGCAUAAGUCAGGGUUGCACACGG
Molecule: ribosomal RNA, 250 nt
Filed under: uncultured prokaryote
Description: partial 16S rRNA
Rfam family: Bacterial small subunit ribosomal RNA
Source: RNAcentral